RNAcentral lists this ribosomal RNA (497 nucleotides) under uncultured bacterium. RNAcentral describes it as "partial 16S ribosomal RNA". It matches the Rfam family "Bacterial small subunit ribosomal RNA", at positions 28 to 507 of the family's 1533-position model. The record is from RNAcentral.
GAUGAACGCUGGCGGCGUGCCUAAUACAUGCAAGUCGAGCGAACAGACGAGGAGCUUGCUCCUUCGACGUUAGCGGCGGACGGGUGAGUAACACGUAGGUAACCUACCUAUACGACUGGGAUAACUUCGGGAAACCGGAGCUAAUACCGGAUAAUAUUUCGAACCGCAUGGUUCGAUAGUGAAAGAUGGCUUUGCUAUCACUUAUAGAUGGACCUGCGCCGUAUUAGCUAGUUGGUAAGGUAACGGCUUACCAAGGCAACGAUACGUAGCCGACCUGAGAGGGUGAUCGGCCACACUGGAACGGAGACACGGUCCAGAAUACUACGGGAGGCAGCAGUAGGGAAUCUUCCGCAAAGGGCGAAAGCCUGACGGAGCAACGCCGCGUGAGUGAUGAAGGUCUUCGGAUCGUAAAACUCUGUUAUUAGGGAAGAACAAACGUGUAAGUAACUGUGCACGUCUUGACGGUACCUAAUCAGAAAGCCACGGCUAACUACGUG